RNAcentral lists this ribosomal RNA (591 nucleotides) under Raffaelea sp. PL6404. RNAcentral describes it as "eukaryotic LSU rRNA". It matches the Rfam family "Eukaryotic large subunit ribosomal RNA", at positions 36 to 632 of the family's 3401-position model. Lineage: Eukaryota; Fungi; Ascomycota; Sordariomycetes; Ophiostomatales; Ophiostomataceae. The record is from RNAcentral.
AAGCAUAUCAAUAAGCGGAGGAAAAGAAACCAACAGGGAUUGCCCCAGUAACGGCGAGUGAAGCGGCAACAGCUCAAAUUUGAAAUCUGGCCCCCCCCCGCGGGGGCCCGAGUUGUACUUUGGAGAGGAUGCUUUGGGCGCGGCGCCGGCCGAGUUCCCUGGAACGGGACGCCAGAGAGGGUGAGAGCCCCGUACGGCCGGACGCCCAGCCCGUGCAAAGCUCCUUCGACGAGUCGAGUAGUUUGGGAAUGCUGCUCAAAACGGGAGGUAAAUUUCUUCUAAAGCUAAAUACCGGCCAGAGACCGAUAGCGCACAAGUAGAGUGAUCGAAAGAUGAAAAGCACUUUGAAAAGAGGGUUAAACAGCACGUGAAAUUGUUGAAAGGGAAGCGCCUGGGGCCAGACGUGCGCCCCGCGGACCACCCGGCGCCCCGCGCGCCGGGGCACGCCGCGGGCGCGCAGGCCAGCAUCGGCUCCCCGCCAGGGGGACAAGGGCCGCGGGAACGUAGCUCCUCCGGGAGCGUUAUAGCCCGCGGCGCCAUGCCCCUGGGGGGGCCGAGGACCGCGCUCCCCGCGAGCAAGGAUGCUGGCGU